Molecule: ribosomal RNA, 458 nt
Filed under: uncultured bacterium
Lineage: Bacteria
Description: bacterial SSU rRNA
Rfam family: Bacterial small subunit ribosomal RNA
Source: RNAcentral
GGGUUUGACAUCCCACGAACAUGCUGAAAGGCAGGAGUGCCCGCAAGGGAGCGCGGAGACAGGUGGUGCAUGGCUGUCGUCAGCUUGUGUCGUGAGAUGUUGGGUUAAGUCCCGCAAGGAGCGCAACCCUCACCCCCUGUUGCUACCAGGUAAAGCUGGGCACUCUAGGGGAACUGCCCCGGUCAACGGGGAGGAAGGCGGGGAUGACGUCAAGUCAUCAUGCCCCUUACGUCAUGGGCUACACACGUGCUACAAUGGCCGGUACAAAGGGAUGCCACACCGCGAGGUAGAGCUAAACCCAAAAAGCCGGUCUAAGUUCAGAUUGGAGUAGCAACUCGACUCCAUGAAGGAGGAAUCGCUAGUAAUCGCGUAUCAGCACGACCCGGUGAAUACGUUCCCGGUCCUUGUACACACCGCCCGUCACACCCCGAAAGCCAGCUGUACUGGAAGUCGCUGAG